GUUCAGCAAAGUAAGAUUUACAAAUAGUCAACAUGACCAAAAUGGUCAGUUGACCCCUUUAGGAGUUAUUGACCUUUAUAGUCAUUUUUUAACCAUUUUUCGUAAAUCUUAGUAAUCUUUUACAAAAAUCUUCUCCUCUGAAACUACUGGGCCAAAUUAAUCCAAACUUGGCCACAAUCAUCUUUGGGAUAUCUAGUUUAAAAAAUGUGUGGCGUGACCUGGCCAACCAACCAAGAUGGCCGCCAUGGCUAAAAAUAGAACAUAGGGGUAAAAUGCAGUUUUUGG
RNAcentral lists this long non-coding RNA (285 nucleotides) under Mytilus galloprovincialis (Mediterranean mussel). The record is from RNAcentral. Lineage: Eukaryota; Metazoa; Mollusca; Bivalvia; Mytilida; Mytilidae.